This is an RNA transcript of Carlito syrichta (Philippine tarsier), 2443 nucleotides long. It is a transcript of the gene named peroxisomal multifunctional enzyme type 2 pseudogene, with no coding region annotated. The transcript has a single exon. The record is from RefSeq and is a predicted model, not a curated record. Lineage: Eukaryota; Metazoa; Chordata; Mammalia; Primates; Tarsiidae.
AUGACCUGGCCGCUGAGGUUCGACGGGUGGGUGGUCCUGGUCACCGGCGCGCGGGGAAGAAUUGAACCAAGCCUAUGCCCUGGCAUUUUCAGAAAGAGGAGCAUCAGUUGUUGUGAAUGAUUUAGGAGGGGAUUUCAAGGGUGUUGGUAAAAGCUCCUUUGUUGCUGAUAAGGGUGUUGAAGAAAUAAGAAGGAAAGGUGGAAAAGCGGUGGACAACUUUGAUUCCGUGGAAGAGGGAGAGAAGGUUAUGAAGACAGCACUGGAUGCUUUUGGAAAAAUAGAUGUUGUGGUCAACAAUGCUGGAAUUCUGAGGGACCGUUCCUUUGCUAGAAUAAGUGAUGAAGAUUGAGAUAUAAUCCACCGAGUUCAUUUGCGAGGCUCAUUACAAGUGAUCCGAGCAGCAUGGGAACACAUGAAGAAGCAGAAAUCUGGAAGGAUAAUUAUGACUUCAUCAGCUUCAGGAAUAUAUGGCAAUUUUGGCCAGGCAAAUUAUAGUGCUGCGAAACUGGAUCUUGUAGACCUUGCAAAUUCUCUUGCAAUUGAAGGAAAGAAAAGCAACAUUUAUUGUAACACUGUUGUCCUAGUGCUGGAUCACGGAUGACUCAGACUGUUAUACCUCAAGAUCUUGUGGAAGCCCUGAAGUCAGAAUAUGUGGCACCCCUCGUCCUUUGGCUUUGCCACGAGAGUUGUAAGGAAAAUGGUAGCUUGUUUGAGGUUGGAGCAGACUGGAUUGGAAAAUUAUGCUGGGAUCGGACCCUUGGAGACAUUGUAAGACAGAAGAAUCAGCCAAUGACUCCUGAGGCAAUAAAGGUUAACUGGAAGAAGAUCUGUGACUUUGAGAAUGCCAGCAAAUCUCAAAGUAUCCAAGAAUCCACUGGCGGUAUAAUUGAAGUUCUAAGUAAAAUAGAUUCAGAAGGAGGAAUUUCAACAAAUCACACCAGUCAUGCAGCAACUACAGCAACAUCAGGAUUUGCUGGAGCUAUUGGCUAUAAGCUCCCUCCAUUUUCUUCUGCUUAUACGAAACUGGAAGCUAUUAUGUAUGCCCUGGGAGUGGGAGCAUCAAUUAUGGAUCCAAAAGAUUUGAAAUUUAUUUAUGAAGGAAGUUCAGAUUUCUCCUGUUUGCCUACCUUUGGAGUUAUCCCAGGUCAAAAAUCUAUGAUGAAUGGAGGAUUAGGAGAAAUUCCUGGGCUUUCAAUCAACUUCGCAAAGGUUCUUCAUGAGAAGCAAUACUUGGAGUUGUAUAAAUCUCUUCCCAGAGCAGGAGAAUUAAAAUGUGAAGCAGUUGUUGCUGAUGUCCUAGAUAAAGGAUCUGGUGUUGUGAUUCUUAUGGAUGUCUAUUAUUCUGGGAAGGAGCUUAUAUGCUAUAAUCAGUUCUCUAACUUUCUUGUUGGCUCUGGAGGCUUUGGUGGAAAACGGACAUCAGACAAAGCCAAGGUAGCUGUAGCCAUACCUAAUAGAUCUGAUGCUGUACUUACAGAUACCACCUCACUUAAUCAGGCUGCUUUGUAUCGCCUUAGUGGAGACUGGAAUCCCUUACACAUUGAUCCUAACUUUGCUAAGCCCAUAUUACAUUUGACAAGCCAAUAUUACAUGGAUUAUGUACAUUUGGAUUUUCUGCCAGGCAUGUCUUAUGGUAGUUUGCAGAUAAUGAUGUGUCAAGAUUCAAGGCAAUUAAGGUUCGUUUUGCAAAACCAGUGUAUCCUGGACAAACUCUACAAACUGAGAUGUGGAAGGAAGGAAAUAUAAUUCAUUUUCAAAUCAAGGUUCAAGAAACUGGAGACAUCAUCAUUUCAAAUGCAUAUGUGAUCUUGUGGGAACAUCUGAUAUUUCAGCUAAGACCCUUUCUGAAGGUGGGGAAAUAGGUCGCCGCCUUAAGGAUGUUGGGCAUGAAGUGGUGAAGAAAGUAAAUGCUGUCUUUGAGUGGCAUAUCACUAAUCGUGGAAAUGUUGCAGCUAAGUGGACUAUUGACCUGAAAAAUGAUUCUGGAAAAGUAUACCAAGGCCCUGCGAAAGGUUCUGCUGAUACAGCCAUCAUAUUUUCAGAUGAAGAUUUCAUGGACAUAGUACUGGGCAAACUUGACACUCAGAAGGCAUUCUUCAGUGGCCAACUGAAGGCCAGAGGCAACAUCAUGCUGAGUCAGAAACUUCAGAUGAUCCUUAAAGACUAUGCCAAGCUCUGAAGGGCACACUACACUACUAAUAAAAAUAGAAUGAUUAAAUACUGUCUCCACCCAGAUAUGCUUGAUUAUUCUGCAAAAGUGAUCAAAACUAAGAUGCAAGGAAAUUUACUUAACAUUUUCAGAUUUCAGAUAACUUUUCAGAUUUUCAUUUUCUACUCAUUUGUCGUGUAUCAUUAUUUUUACAAGAAAUUAUAUAUAUAAGCUAGCACACAAUUAUUGUUCUGCUCUUAGAUCUAUAUCUUCAUAAUAAAAAAUUUCAUCCCC